CGAGCGGUAACAGAGAGUAGCUUGCUACUUUGCUGACGAGCGGCGGACGGGUGAGUAAUGCUUGGGAACAUGCCUUGAGGUGGGGGACAACAGUUGGAAACGACUGCUAAUACCGCAUAAUGUCUACGGACCAAAGGGGGCUUCGGCUCUCGCCUUUAGAUUGGCCCAAGUGGGAUUAGCUAGUUGGUGAGGUAAUGGCUCACCAAGGCGACGAUCCCUAGCUGGUUUGAGAGGAUGAUCAGCCACACUGGGACUGAGACACGGCCCAGACUCCUACGGGAGGCAGCAGUGGGGAAUAUUGCACAAUGGGCGCAAGCCUGAUGCAGCCAUGCCGCGUGUGUGAAGAAGGCCUUCGGGUUGUAAAGCACUUUCAGUCAGGAGGAAAGGUUAGUAGUUAAUACCUGCUAGCUGUGACGUUACUGACAGAAGAAGCACCGGCUAACUCCGUGCCAGCAGCCGCGGUAAUACGGAGGGUGCGAGCGUUAAUCGG
This 490-nucleotide ribosomal RNA is filed under the name Pseudoalteromonas sp. Its description in RNAcentral is "bacterial SSU rRNA". It matches the Rfam family "Bacterial small subunit ribosomal RNA", at positions 63 to 548 of the family's 1533-position model. Lineage: Bacteria; Pseudomonadati; Pseudomonadota; Gammaproteobacteria; Alteromonadales; Pseudoalteromonadaceae. The record is from RNAcentral.